UGCUUCAUAGCUCAGUUUUUUAGAGCAUCGCACCGAAAUCGCGAGGUCACGGGUUCAAAUCCCGUUUAAGUCC
This 73-nucleotide transfer RNA is filed under the name Acropora cervicornis. RNAcentral describes it as "tRNA-Phe". It matches the Rfam family "tRNA". From Rfam's summary of the family: Transfer RNA (tRNA) molecules are approximately 80 nucleotides in length. Lineage: Eukaryota; Metazoa; Cnidaria; Anthozoa; Scleractinia; Acroporidae. The record is from RNAcentral.